GAUUAUCAUAAACUUUAUUUGUCUUCAAUUUAUUUCAUAGCAGUACAUCUUAUUUUCAUUUGAUUAAUUAGCCAUAACUUGGCAUAACAACUCAGGUUAUUUAAAAACCUAGCAAGUGAGGUUAUUCUCAGGAGCAACGCCGAGUUGACUGCAAUAAUCUCUAUAAUAUCUAACACGAGCCUGAACAGUACCUGGGUUUCCACCAUUGCAUUCCAUACUAUUAAUGGCUCGAAUAGUUGCUCCAAAACCUUGGCUUACAACAGGACGAACAAUGUUCAUCCAAAACCAUAAGGCUGUCUUAAAUGACACAACAGCAUCGCUUGCUACAAUGUCAGGAUUGUUCAAUCCAUCAAAGUUGUUGCUCCUUCCGGCUGGCCCAUAGUUGUAGUUCCAUGAUAGUUGGAGUGGUCCGCGGCCAUAGUAUUUCUUGCCUGGAACACAUGGGUAUUCCCUGUUGUUUUUAUCACAGUAGUCUUGACCGGAAGCACCAUUUAUCUCUUCUUUAUAGCAGAAGUCUGCAAAAUAAGACAUUUUCUCUUGUCAGUUUACACACGAGGAGCUGAAACACGCUUAUUAGACAGUUCACUUUGUUGGCAAAAUCCAUAUGCGGACAAAUGUAUUUGUGGAAAAGAUAGAUAGACAGACAGACUACUGUUGGCUAUCAUGCUUGCUAUUCAAAUGCUGCGAGAAAUGUUGUUAGGGAUGGAAGAAGAACUUACGUCCAGUCUCAUGAGUAACAUGAGCGAAGAAAGCUGCAAUCUCACGCUUAGAAGCUUCAACUGAACCAAGUUUACCAAAUUGAGGAUAUGAAUUGACAGCACUGAGAAAUGCAUCUCUUGUAUAGAAAUUCUUCCCAGCACAGCCUGCAGGAGCUUGGCUGAUUAUACCAUUGAAGAAACCAGGCGUAACAAUAUCAGCAACAGAACCACUCCCACUGGGAGUAGUAGGCGUAGGCGAUGAAGAACAGGGCCCUUGCUUACAUCCCUGACCACAAUAGUCAUUGCCAGUGCCACAGUAGCCAUAUUGACUGCAACAAAGGUUUGCAGCACAGCCACAAUUUUGAGCCUCUACCACAUUCUUGGGCAGGGCUCCUGCAAGAGCUAUGGCUAAGAUAAUGGUAAGUAGAAUAUUGCUUCUCAUUUUCGCUACUCCUGAAGGGAGUUUUGAUAUUGAUAUGCAAAGAGAGAAAGGAAUUUCUUGUGGUGUGUGGAGAUAAGGUCGAGGUUAAGCUAUUUAUAGAGGCACAAAGUGGACGAGUUCUAUAAUUUUACGUGUAAAAUAUCUAGGAGUUGAUUAUAUUUUAGUCUAUAAAAUUUAGCAAAAUAAAUAAAGUUCGGCAAAAAUUUCUAGGAUCAUGACAUUAAAGUCUUCACGUGACAUCUUGUUGAAGUGGUCUGACAGUUACAUACCAUAGAAGGUAGAAACUUUAUUAUUACAUCAGACACAACCCUAUUUAGUCCUAUGUGUCUAUUUCUACAUCAGACAAUCUUAUUUGGCUUUGUAAUUACUGAUUAUCACCUCAUAACUUUUUUCCAACCCAACAUUUUCCUCUCAUUAAUUAAGAGCUUAAUUUGCGUUUGAUGAAUGACCUAACUAAAGAAACUUAAAAACCGGUAGCCAAUGGGAUCGAAAGCAAGUACGGCAACUCAAUCGAGUUAUUUAUUGAGAAAACUAGCAUAUCAUUCAGGCUAUAAUAAACUGGAAGCUAGUUAUAGAUAAAAACAUAAAAGGAAGUUACAAAGAAGAUGCUACUAACAAACUCCUAUAAACAAGAACUCAUCACUUAUUAGACCCUCUUAAAAUGCCUUUGAGACCUUUAAUCAAAGUGCAAGUCGACGAUGGAGUAUGAGUUGAAACAAUGUAUUCCAAUCAAGCUUCUUAUCUUUGAAGAUCAGCUUGUUUCUUACGGUGCAAAUUAAAUACCCCCACAAAAUUCCAUAUGAUAGCAUCGUGAAGGCAUUUCGCUAGAACUUACCUUUCCAUGAAAUUAGUCUUGUGCGGAUGCUAUUUAUCACAAGCUUCCAAGUGGAGAGUCUUUUCAGGUUUGCUCCCAAAAAGAAGGCCUAAGUAUUGGGCAACUAGUGUGUCCCAUUUGCAAUAUAUCACAUUUGUUAUUUCUACUGUAAAUUCAUCAUCUAGGUUGAUGUCAACUAGUGAACUUCUAUGAAAAUUAACCUCUAGAUAUAAAGUAAAUUCAAACCACUUCAAAAUCUUUUUAGCAUUAGUUAUCAAAGUGAAAUGAUUAGGAAUAAACACUAAAGUAUCAUAUGCAUAUUACAAAUAACUCAUAUACAUCCCAUUUCCCCAAUGGAUUUUUAAAUUAUCCAGAAGUUGAAGCUUUUUUAAAUAGAACUGAGAACCCCUUCAUAUCUAUGUCAAAAAGAAAAGGCGAUAGUGAUUCUCGCCUUGACAUGGUCACGUUCUACUCUAAACUCCGUGCUUGGUGAACCUUUAAUACACUACCAUAAUCUUUAUAUUUAUUGAUGAAAUUUUUUAUCGGUAUUUGUAUUAUCAUUCCAUUGGUAAUUAAUUUAUUGACGGAAAUGCUCCGUCUGUAAAUCUUUCGUUUGUAAUUUUUUGUCCGUCGGUAAGUCUGUUGGUAAUAAAAAAUAUUAUUACUGAUGGAUUUACUAACGGAAAAAGAGCGAAAAAAAUUAUCUGCUUCAUUUCAUUGGUAUUUUCCUCGAAAAAAUAUCAUAUAUAAUUCCGUCGGUGAUUAUUUAAAAAUAUUUUAAAAAAAUCUAUUUUACAAAACUAUAAAAUAAUUAAAUUAAUAUAAAUCAACACUCUAUAAUACUCAAAACUGAGUUGCUUGGAAAAACAAAACAAGAAAAUCAAAUCAAAUAAAUUUGCAACAAAUAAAUAACACAAAAAAAUAAAUUCAACUAAAACAAUUCAUAUGAAAAAAAUGAAGUUGCUAUUGCUAAAAAUAAAACAACUAAAAAUUGAUCUCAUAUGAAAAAAAAAUCCUACAAUAACAUUCAUACAAUUAUUAAGAACAAAAAAAUUUAAAAAUAAAAUAAAAAAACAAAUAUAGUGAAAAAAAACUUGACAAAUUAAAGAAGAGAAAAGAAAAAUCUUACUGUAGUCGCAACUGAAGCCGAGAAGAGAAAAAAAAUUGUUAAGUAUAUUAAUAAAAAAAGAACUGAGAAGAGAAAAGAAGAAAGGAGAAGAAGACAUAUCUGAGCAUGGAAAAGAAGAGAAGGAGUUGAGGAGAUAAGAAAAGAGAAGAAAAAUAAAAGAAUAUUGAUUUUUUUAUAUAUGGAGAAGAAGAAUUUGAUGCUGUUGCAUACGAAGAUGUUAAACAACGAGGACUCCCUUGUCUGAUUCCAGAGUCCAGUGAGCCUUGGGAUUCCACCUCACAUUCAUCUUCAAUAUGCUGUAGACUUCCACUUGAAGAGAGAAGCUUAGCCUUGUGCUUCAUGCGUCUGAGAAACAUUGGAUGCGACGUCGUGGAAUUGUUGCUAACACAUCCUGAAAUUGUAAUUGCAUUUCAUUUGAAAGACGGGGGCCUAAAUGAAGUGCUGAACAGUUGUGGUCAUAAUGGCCCAUCGUUUUUGGGCCUUCAUUUUUACGUUCUCUCUUGUCUCAUAGAAAUAAGAUUUUAUUUUAGAAAUCUGGGAGAACGUACAAAAUAAGAGAGAACGUAAAAAAGACUAGUAGAUAAACUCAAUUACCAUAUAAAUUUUGUGUAUGAACUUUUUUAUAUAUAUAUUUUUUAUUUUUAUUUAAAUCUCUUAUAAUAUUUAAUGACACAUUAAGGAUCUAUGUAGUGAUUACUUGGUUGCUUUUAGUUAUAUUUGUUGCUGUGAGUACUAUUAGCUGCGGUUAAAAGAUGUUUAUCUAGCAAUAUAACAAAAAAAGAUAAAGGUGAAAAUACUAUGGCAUAGAAAUAUUUUACUAUUUAUUGCUAUAGUAUAAUUAUUUAUUUACCCUUCUCAAAAAAACCAAUGGCUUUUACAUUGGGGAUUUUUUUUCUUUUCAGAUGACUUAUUAUUAAUUAUUAUAUUGAUCGAUUGUCUUUUUUAUUUUUUUUAAGAACAAUGGAAUUAUUAAUUUACUCUUCAAAGCAAAAUUAUUGAAACUAAGUUUUAAGGACUUUCACAUCAAUUCACUAUUUUAAGAACAAUAAAAAGACUUGCAAAAUUUCUAAAGCCUGCAUAUAGGAGCUUUUAUGUUUUUUCACUAUGUUUUUUCUUUUUUUUGUUAUUAUCAUAUUGGUUGAUGGUAAUUUAAUCUUUUAAUAAAAAUAAAAUAAUAUUAAAAUAGAAAAGUUGAUGAUAUAUACAACUCACGCUCCAACGUGUGGGAGGCGCCCAUAAAUUUUGUCAGCAUGCACAACGCAUCACAGUGGUUAAAAAGCUCUUUUGUUAUGUUAUUGAAAUCUUUGCAGCUUAUUAUUUUUGGUGGGGUGGCACGUGGUGAUCUUGGUAUGAUGAAUUGUUGUCGGUGAGACUUUUUUUUUUUUCCUCUUUUCUCUCUCUUAUCCUCUCGAAAAUCGUACUAGACAUUUAGAAUUUCAAUGUUGUCCUCUUAGUUAUUGAUACUUCAAAUUUGAUUCUUAUUCUUUUGAUUUCUAAUUUUUAUUCUUAGCCCUUCACCAUUGCCAUUUUAAUUACAUUCUUACUAUACAUGCAUAUGCGAAUUAUAAUUUACGUAUGCUUGUUGCAUUUUAGUGACCAAGCCUGGGCUAGCUGGAUCAAGCCCAGCCCGUACGACAAACCUAGAUCCGACCAGAAAAAAAUAAAAAAAUUGUUUCUUUCUUUUUUUAGAUUUAAAAUUUGCGGACUUAUUCACUGACAUCAUUGUCAGGAAUACCGCACUUUGUGGAUUGCGCAAUAUUUACCAAUGCUAGAGUUGUAAAUAUUUAUAGGUGAAUAUUUAUUGACGUCAGAGUUGAGAAUAUUAUAGGAUGACCUUAAAAAUGGAACAAAGACAAACUCUUAGCAAUUUAAGACAAAACCAGCAAUGCAGCUUGCUUCAAGUAAGACGCUUAAGGGGUGGUAGUAUCUUCCAUUUCGCGUAACUAGUCCCGUACCAUAGAAUCUCUGUUGAUUAGUUAGGGUUGGUAGUGAUUGUAAUACUAGGUGGUGACUCCUUAAACUAGACCUUUCCCUCAAAGAACAAGAUGUUAGAUAUCUUUUUUUUCUUAGAUUAUUUUUAAUUGGUUGUCGCGAUGUCCGAGUGUGAUAUCUGAGGCUGACAUUGAAGUUUUCUUAUGGAUGAGAUUGCAUAAAAUUAAAAGUUUGAAGUCAAUCAAGGGUGUAAUUGAGACAAAUCAGAAAUCAAAUGAAUAAAGUGAACGUUACCAAAACGAUGCCGUUUUGGUUAUUUUUCAUCAUCUUCUUCAAUUUUCUCUGAAAUGAUAGCUCAGGAAAACUACUUUAUAAGUGCAUUUAAUGCCUCUAACCUUUAUCAAAUUUGACAAAACUUGCAUGCAAAUGAUCACCUGACAUCCCUUUACACCUCGGUAUGGUCCGUUUAGACUGAUUGACACCACAGAAGCCGCGAUGCCAACCUAAAAAGGCCAGCUCAAGCAGCCUUUAACUGUCAAAUUUCACAGUUCAUGGUGCCUACUUUGAGCCAACGGUUGGGAUCCUUCCCAUUCGAAUCAAGGGCUGAAAAUUUUUCUCAGUGAAGAAAAUAUUACCCUCCUCCAAACCCUAUAAAUAGGGGAGAUUUCAUGGCCUGAGCAUGAGAAAAAUCAGGUCAAAAAAUCAGCUCGUCCCCCUGUUUUUACUGCCACUAUGAACUGUCUCUUCAUUCUCUCUUCACCGUGGCCUUUGGCCACCCCUACUCCCUCCACCGUCUUGUUCAUCACCAUCUCCACCACAAGCAGCCACCCAACCACCUCACGUGGUGGUUGCACCAUCUCUCCCUCUCUCUCCCUACAGUUUCCUCCCUCUACUUCUUCUUCUUCCUGCCUCCAGCUCUGCAACGAGCCACCAGCCGUUCCAUCGUCCUCAACCAGACCAGUAACGACAUCCAUGACCCUUUAGCGAGGUGAGCCCCCUUUCCUCCUCUUCUUCUUCCCUCUCUGUUCAUGCAUAAACAAUGGGCGUGUCCUACUAUUCAUGCAAUGGAUUUUGGGCUAAGCCUAAUGGCUGGAACGGGUCCGACCCAAACUAAAAAAAAUUGUGUUGGGCCGAGAUUAGCCCAAUAUUUCUUGGACAAAGUUCGGCUCAGCCAAUAUUUAUUUAAUAUCUAUUUUUUUAUAAUAUAAUAUAUAUUAUAAAAAAAGAAAAAAAAUCAAAAAUCCUUUUAAAAAGAUUGUGUUUUCUCAAAUAUUUUCUAUCAAUUUUGUAUAAUAUCAGGUUGUAUAUUUAUAUUGUAAGAUACAAAUCUGGUAUUAAAAUACCUGGUUUUCUCUAAAAUAUUUCUAAAAACCAUUUUUAAAAAUAAAAAAUUCAUAACUUUUAAAUUAAUUUCCCUUUUCAAAAAAACAAAAAAGAAAAAAAUAUUUUGUUUUCAUGCAUACGGCCAAAUCCUAAAAAGUUUUCCAAGCAUAUUUAAAAAGAAAAAACAAAAACAAAAACAAAAACAAUUACAUCUUUUUCAUGUUUUAAAAAGCAAAAAGAAUGGAUAUCUUACCUAAUUUAUGAUUGUCCAUUAGGAUUUGACUAAAUUGUCAAAAACCCUUUACAAAUCAUUUUUCUAGGGUGUAGAUGUAGACUUUAACAUCUAUGAGGUGUAAAACUAUACAGUAGAGUACACCCUCAGAUAUUAAAGACACAAAGUGUAAAAUAAAUACAUUGCUAAAAUUUGAUAUUUAGAAUGGUUAUAAUUAAACCGAUGAGGUAGAGACUCUCUCACGAAGAGAGAUCUAUUUUGAACCUUACUAACGAAUAGAAACUCGACUUAGAAAAACAACCAAGCAACAAUGCAACUUACCUUAGGUAGGGUGCACUAGGGUGAUGCAUCAUCCCCUCGUACAACCAGUCCCUUACCGGGACUCUCGCAAACCAUAGGUUUCUAUUAACCAUAAUACUAGGUAGCGACUCCUGAUCCUUAAUUAUAAUCUUAUGAUUAAACCCAAACAUAUUUCCUUUCCCAACAACAAUACCUCCUCAAGAGGCAUGAAAAGCUCGUCAUCACCCCUGAUGUCGUGCCCCCGUGUGACAAAGAUAAUAUACUUUGGGAUUUUAGCUGCUGAUUAAUUGCCUUUUCCAACUCCUCUAUUAUUUUGGAGUGAUCAAAUGGAUAUGAAAGAUAGCAAAGUGACCUUUUUCCUUGCAUAGAUUCUUUCAUUAAUGCUAUUUUUCAUGCGAGGAUUGCAGGAUGAAACAAAUCAAAAUUCUAUUUUACUACAAACCAAGUACAAAAUCUUGGUGAUUUUGAAUCUUUAUAUAUAGCAUCGUAAGAAACAGCUAGUUUGGUUUUAUCAUAUUCAUGACAAUACAUAAAAGUGAUGGGUUUAUUAUUUUUUAUUAUCCUAGCAAGGUUCUGGUAGGGGUCAAAGCCUGUUAUACAAGUGGUUCUGUAAUUUGCACUACUCAUAAUGUUUAAUAGAAAGACUAUAUAUAUGUAUAUAUAUAGUUUCAGUGCUAAUAUUACAUCCUAGUUGAAGAAGUUGAUUGGUAUAAGUCUAAUUUUUCAGUCAAGAUUGAAAGAACAGAACCCGAAAAAUGAAAGAGCUGGACUGUCGAAAAAAUAUUUCACAUGAAUUUCAUCUUGGAAAGGAAAGAUGAAGCUUGCUUACAAGACCUUUUAGUAUGAAAUUAUAUUAUUUGUAUCUAAAUAGUCAAUAAUGAUGCUAAUUUCUUUAAUGUAUUCAUAUGAAACUCUAUAUAUUUUCUUUUUUACUUACUGGCCACAACUGGUUUUUGGAUCUUUCUUUUAUCCCAUUAAUUAGUUGUUUUUUCUCAUGAUUUACUGAUCCUUGCAACUAUUUUGUGUGCAAAUAUUUGUUGGGAUUGAAGCUUUACAGCUUUGAAAACUAAACUAUUGGAGCACAGUUUGUGCUUCGGACACUUUAAUGACAAUAUAGCCUAUAUAAACUGGAUCUUUGUUUUGGUAGGACCCAGUGUUUCGGGUUCUUUUAUGCCUACCUCAAUUCAAUUUAAAGGAUUUUGAAUUUCAAAGUUAAAUGUUAAAUUUAAUGUUAUUGAUAUAAACAAUAGAAUUUUCUUACAACUCCAAACUUAUAGUUACAGACUUGUAAUAAUGUAUUAAAAUCUUUAUGAACUUUUAAUAUGCAAAAAAAAAAAAAUUAAAAUUUGUAGAGUAAUCAAAUAAUUUGAAUGUAAAAGAUAACUUAACAACUCAUAAUUAAAAAACUUACAUUCAUUGGAUGAUCAUUCAAUUUAUUACAAACAUGCACUAAAAGUUUUUUAAAAAUUUAUUUAGGAUACUUUAAGGGUAUUUUUUUAUGUUUUUUUUUAUAUAUAAAAAAAAUAAUUUGCAUUUCUAUUUAUGAUGUUUAAAUGUUUUUUUAUAAAAAAUAAUAAAAAUUAAAAAAAAUUAUUUAGGAUACUUCAAGGGUAGUUCAAAUGUUUUUUUCAUAAAAAAUAAAUAAAAUUUAUAAAAAAAUAAUUAGUAUUUUUGUUUAGGAUAUUUCAAGGGUAGUUUAAAUGGUUUUUUUUAUAACAAAUAGAAAAUAUUUAUAAAAAAAUAUUUAUGAUACUUCAGGGGUAGUUUUAAUAUUUUUUUAUAAAAAAAUAAAAAAAAUAUUAUAAAAAAAUUAAUUUGUGUUUUUAUUUAUUUUUUUAAUAUUUUUUAAUAAAAAAAAUAAAUUUUUUUUUUAAAAAUUAAUUAGAAUUUUAAUUUAAGAUACUUCAAAAAUAGUUUUUUUAUAUAUAUAUAAACUAGAAACAAAAUAUAAUUUUUUUAGCAUUUUUAUCUUUUCCAUUUUUUAUUCUAAAAGUUGUUGCAGCGUGUUGGGUCAAGGCAUGACCACCUGACCCAAGCAUAAUGGGUCUGGCAUGGCUGCCAAACCUAGAGCUAUUGAGUAUGGUUUGGCCUCCAGAACCAGCGUUCUUGAAUCUGGUAUUGCUGCUAGACAUAAGGAUCUUGGGCCUGGUAUUGCUGCUAGACCCAAAGGCUAUUGGGUCUGCCAUGACCACUGAACCUAUUUAUGUUAAAGAAAGAAAACAUUUAUAAAAAAAAUUAAUUAGUGUUUCUGUUUAGGAUACUUUAAAAGAAAUUUAAAUUUUUUUAUAUAAAAAAUAGAAAAAAUAUACUAAAAACAUUAUUUAGGAUACUUCAAUGUUAGUUUAAAUAUUUUUUUUUAUAAACAAUAGAAAACAUUUAUACAAUAAAUUAUAUAGGAUACAUCAAGGAUAGUUCAAAUAUUUUUUUUAAUAAAAAAAUAUAUAAAAAAACUAAUUAGCAUUUCUGAUUAGGAUACUUCAAGGAUAAUUUAUAUUUUUUUUUAUAAAAAACAGAAAAAAAAUUUAAAAAACAAAUUAUUUAGGACACUUCAAGGGUAAUUUUAAUUUUUUUAUAGAAAAAAUAUAAAAAAGUAUAAAAAAACUUAAUUAGUAUUUUUGUUUAUGAUAUUUUAAGGAUAGUUUAAAUAUUUUUUUUAUACUCUGUAUAUUUUUUUGACAUUUAAAAAAAAAAAUUUAUUAACCCGUUAUAUAGCACAAAUCAAUAUACUAAUAAAUAUGCAAUACAUGUGGUAUAUAUGUAAAAUAAUAUCAACCCUUUUGUUUUCAAGUCGUAUAUCAAAUAUAGGAAAAACUGGGGAAGCUAAAGCUAUUCAUAAUUGGAGGAGAGUUCACCCAUAUUUCUAACACCCGACCUUGUCGCAGCGAAUAAGAUAUUUGAACAUCCAAUCACUCAUGGUGGAUUUUUUGUCUAAUACUUAAAAUUCUCAAAUCAUUUCAAGGCUUUUGGAUAUCUUAACAUUAGGUUUUUUUUUUUUAAUCAACAUGAAGUUUUAACUUUGUAAUCAACAUGAAGUUUUAACUUUGUAAUCAACAUGAAGUUUUAACGAUAGAUGGUAAUCAUACGGGAGAUGAGCUUAAUAGGAUCCUCAAAAGCUUUACGAAAGUGGAAAUUUUCAAAGCUAGGAGACAGCAUAGUCUGGAAAUUAAUUUUCUUUUCUUCACACUCACAGUAAUACAAUUUCUUUUAAAUUCUUGAGCACACUAUUAUCUGAAACAAAUAUAGGCCCGAGGGAGGGCAUAGAGUUUAAUUUCCCGUACCAAUUGUUUGUGGCAUUGCUGGCAGAUGCGUAUUACUUUUCAAACAACUAGGAAAGGAUAAUCAACCACUACCAUUUCAAGCAAAAGUUGAAAGAAGUUAGGCAAGAAAAUAGAAAUCCUGUCCACAUAAAGACACAGAUUCAAUUGGUAGUUUACCAUGCUAGUUCUGACUUUGGAGGAAAAAGCCUGUCCAACCCUAUCUCCUAACGAAAGAAAACGUAAUAUCCUAUUACUUUAAACAGUCUGGAGUAGCUUCUACGAAGUUACUGGCACCCAAUGGCAUAGAAUGGGCAUGGCCGUCGUUGACUAGCUAAUUACCCAAAAUCUACGUCGCCUUCCUAUAUAUUUUUAAGAUAGAGAAGACAACCUUUCACCAUAAAUGAAAGGUUAGAAAAAAAUAAAAUUGAACCCGUCUUCUAGUGCUCCUUUCUUUUCUAGUUUUUGUAGCUAACUGUUAGGAUAAAAAUGGAUGUCCAGAAUCGACGCAUGUGGUUGAAUAAUUUGCCUACAAUAUCUGUUUUAUUAAUUAGAGAUGCCAUUCAUAUUACAAGGAGGAGGAGAUACACUCUCUCAACUCUAACUUAAUUUCUAACAUCUCAAUCUAAUAGUUUAAUAUUAAAAAAUAAUAUAAAUUAUAUUUUAAAACAUCAUCUAAUAGUUUAAAUUAUUAAAUUAAGAUGUUUUUUUAACAUAAUAUUAGAGCCUUAAUGAUCAAGCGGUCAUGGGUUCAAAUCUUAUCAUUCCUAUUUAUUUGUUAAAAAUUAAGCACAAAGUAAUAUAAAUAUGUACAAGCUAAAGAACUUUCACUUUUAAAGGUGUGUUAGAAAAUAAUAUAAAUCAUAUCUUGGAACCUAAUCUAAUAACUUAAAUUAUUGGGUUGAAUUGGUUAUUUAACACGCAACACUUUCUCUUUCUCUUGGUGAUUAGCUCAUUAGAAAUGUAGUAGUAGUUAUUUUUUAAAGUAUUUUUUUGCUUGGAAAUGCAUCAAAAUAAUAAUUUUUUAUUUUUUAAAAUUUAUUUUUCAUAUCGGCAGAUAAAAAUGAUCUUAAAACACUAAAAAAAAAUUAAUUUGAAAUAAAAAAAAUUAAAAUUUUCAAAUAAAACUUAUAGAACACAUAAACAAAUGGGAUUUUAUAACCAAAGAUAUGCAUCAAGUUGGAAUAGAUCCACAGCUCAUUCCAACACAUGCCAAUACAUGUCAUGUCAACUCAUUCCACCUUACUACAACUCAGCUCUUGCAGCUGAAAGUAAAAUAGGCCCCAACGUUUCUUCCACAUCUAGCUAGCUGGAUAAGAAAUGGGUGGGGAGUGCCUUUAGCUCUCCAUUAAUCAACACUACCAAGAUAUUUGACCACACUGUGGCCAUAUCGUAUAUAUUGGAAAAGAUCAUAUUUACUUUGGUCAAUAUAUAGUGCUGUCGGUCAAGUGAGCCAAGCACAUGGCCUAGCAACGCCAAACAAUAUGAUAAUUGGGAAGCAAAAGGAAAUCACAGCAUGUUGCCUAAUUUUUCAUUUUUUUGUCUGGCAAAUCGAUUUUUUGCCACUGUAUUUCAAACUUGUUUCAUUAACAUCAAGAUCAAUGCGAUGUUGUGUAUGGACAUGGACCCCAAUCCACAAUUGCUAUCAUGUAAGAAAUGGACUUGACAACUUCUUUGAAAAGUCUCGCCAUUAAUAUUGAUGAUGUUCAACGUCGGCUCAACAUGAUUUUGAACCAACAAAUAAUCUCAAUAGUGAUUUGAUGGCGAAGAUCCUAGGUGUUGCAGUUUCUGGAUGUUCUUAGAACAGUUCAAUUCAAUCCCUUAAUAUCUAAAAAAACACAAUUUAGUUUCUUUCGGCCCUAUUUAGAGUGUGGUUGGAUUAUAUUUUUUAAAAUUUUUAAUUUUUUUAAGUUUUAAAUUAAUAUUUUUAGUUUUUUUUAAUCAUGAUAUAAAAAAUAAAAAAUAUUAUCUUGAUAUAAUUUUAAAUAAAAAAACACUUUCCACCGUAAUAUCAAACAUUUACAAUUCAUGGCAAUUAUAGAUGAGUACAAUGACUAACACAUCUGUUAAUUUUGGUAUCAAUCAACCAAAUUUAAAAUGUUAAUUUUGGUAUCAAUCAACCAAAUUUGAAAAAUGAAAAGUAAGCUUAUCAUGCAUUAUAAACAUAACAGUCAAGGCAACACAACCUUUCAUUUUCAAAAACAUAAAACGAAAAAAUGUCAUAUUCAUGAAAUUUUUAAUUUCCAAACUAAGUGAUUUUCAAGUUUUUUUGAAGAAUAAUUUUUUUUAUUUAUAUUAUAAAAAAUUUAAAACUAAAACAACAACUUGUAUAGAGUUUGGCACUGUUUAGAGUGCGGUUGGACCACAUUUUUUUUAAAAUUUAAAUUAAUACUUUUUAGUUUUUUUUAUCAUUUUGAUAUACUAAUAUCAAGAAUAAAAAAUAUAAAAAAUAUUAUUUUGAUAUAUUUUUAAAUAAAAAAUACUUUAAAUCACAAUCUUAAACAUACUGUUUACAAUUCAUGGCAAUUAUUGAUGGUCAUGGUGACCAACACUUGUGUUAAUUUCAGUAUCAAUCAACCAAAUUUAAAAGAUGAAAAGGAAUUAUAUAUAAACAUAACAGGCAAUACAACCUUUCAUUUAAAAAAAAAAUAAAACGAAAACAUGUCAUAUUCAUGAAAUUUUUAAUUUCCAAACUAAGUGAUUUUCAAAUUUUUUGAAGAAUUUUUUUUUAUUUAUAUUUUAAAAAAAUUUAAAACUAAAACAACAAUUUCUAUAGAGUUCAAAUUAUUGAGAUCAUUAUAACAAUAUGCUUGUAUAAUUGGGAGGAAAAAAAGUCAUAGCUUCUCGUCUCUAUCUAGUCUCUAGCAUAAGCAAUAUGUAAAAAUCAAGAUUUAUUAAAAUGAGGACAAAUUCCUUUGGAAAAAAAGUUAUUUAAAAAUACUUUUUUUUUCCUUUGGUUCUUGUUUUACUCAAGAAAUAAUUAAUUAGAGUAGAUCCUACUACGGAUAUUAACAUAAAUUUGAAAAUUUAUUAUGGAAACGGAAGAAUAAAUGAAUAUGCACACAUAUAGUGAUUUCAAUUUCAAAUUGCUAAUAUAUUGGGUUCGAUGGAUCCAAUCUUUUGGUCAAAAUGGAUUCAAUUGAUGGAAAAUAAAAUACAAGGCGUAAAUUGAAUUUAAGCACAAAUUUAUGGCCACGUAAAGUGGAGGUUUUUCCAAGUAAUAAAAAUAAAUAUAAAAAGGGACAUCAAAAUUACUGAAAAACUAUAAGAGACAUAACGAUAAUUAUAAACUUUAUUUCUCUUCAAUUUGUUUCAUAGCAGUACAUCUUAUUUUCAUUUGAUUAGCCAUAACUUGGCAUAACAACUCAGGUUAUUUAAAAACCUAGCAAGCGAGGUUAUUCUCAGUAGAAACGCCGAGUUGACUGCAAUAAUCUCUAUAAUAUCUAACACGAGCCUGAACAGCACCUGAGUUUCCACCAUUGCAUUCAUUACCAUUAAUGGCUCGAAUAGUUGCUCCA
This 13642-nucleotide long non-coding RNA is filed under the name Populus trichocarpa (black cottonwood). RNAcentral describes it as "long non-coding RNA (PTRI_LNC004233)". Lineage: Eukaryota; Viridiplantae; Streptophyta; Magnoliopsida; Malpighiales; Salicaceae. The record is from RNAcentral.